UAGUUGACUACCAGUAGAAAAGGCAACUCUGCAACAAAUCUCUCUCUCUGAGCAGCAAUAAUUGCCUUCAUGUUGUACACUUCUAUAUCAUUGUAAGCUUAGCUAGCUAGCUAGCUCAUAUCCAUCACUUAACUGCCAUUGCAAAGUCUUUUCUUUGUACUAUAACUAUACACAAUCAUCAACUUAUAUUCUUGAUACAAACCAUCAACCGUGGCCACUUCAACUCCUAGUACCCUCACCACCGCCAAAACAUGGCCACCACCGCCACAUCCAGUCACCACCACCACCACUACCUUCCCACCUGACCAUACAAACAUGUUAGGCCUUCACAACAUACUCUUUAUAGCUCCGCCACCUUCUCCUUUUCACCACCACCAGCCUCCACACAUUCCCUCUACUCACCAAAUAGCCAACACCAAUGAUCAAUGUAACAUUGCAAACAAUCAAGAAUCUUGGACCACUCUCAAUAAAUACCAGCAAAAAUCUAGUUUUCUUAAAAGGGGUGAUUUAAAUGUUGUUGGGGAUAAUGAUACUGGAAGGAAUAUUGGUCCUGCAAGAGCUUGCAGGGACUGUGGAAACAGGGCAAAGAAAGAGUGUCAGUAUAGGAGGUGCAGGACUUGUUGCAAGAGUAGAGAGUAUGAUUGUACCACUCACAUGAAGAGCACAUGGGUGUCUGCUGCGAGGAGGCGAGAGAGGCUUGGUUGUGGUGGUGGUGGUGACUCUUCUGCUUCUUCUGGUGGUGGCUGUGUUGGUGGUAAAAGGCCAAGAGAAAAUGUGACUGCUACAUCUAAUAGUUUCAGUACUUCUAAUAACAAUGCUGCUGCUUCUGUCAACUUCGAUACAGGCUCUAGUUAUCAGGAUGCAAGCUUCAAACUGUCUUUACCUGGCCAAGUCCGUGAACCGGCAGUUUUCAGGUGCAUUAGAGUAACAGCCAUUAACAGUGGUGAAGCUGAGGUUGCCUAUCAAGCUAAGGUGAAUAUAAGUGGCCAUGUUUUCAAGGGCAUUCUUUAUGAUCAAGGGAUCGACGAGAAAAACCUGUUUCCAUGUGUUUCAAAAAUGCAGUCUGGUGAAAGGACUAGAGACUCCACCUCGCCAAUUGUUGAACCAUCCGUUGCCUACGCAGCCACAGGGAACCACAGAUUGCUUGAAGCCGACGAGACUCUACGCUGUGCUUAAAUUUACUGCUGGAGCUUGCAGCAGAAAGGAUAAUCUCAAUAAUGUUGGGUAGCUACUUGGCUACUAACUGCAAAGAAUUAAAACAUCUUGUUUUCUUUCACAGGACCCUUGCUUCAUAACCAAGCAAGGGUCAUUGUUGCGAUGUCACCAUCAUCUUGGGUAAAAUAGAAAAGGCAUGGCAUGUGAAUUACUUCCUCUCUACUUUAAUGUUGCAUCUGUCUCUUCGAUGCAAAAAUAAUACGAGCAUUCCAUCCAUGAUGUCCUUUCUUUUAUUUACUUUUUAACUGAAAGCAUAAGUUUCUUUAGGACUUUUGUGAUAACGAGCUGUUUCCUGGUUGUGCUUUUUUUACUGUUCCAUCCAUUUCAAUAUAUUUAAUUCAUUGCAAAAUUCUACUGAGAAGCAUUUAUUUUAUGGGAAGACAUCAAUUAUGGUGGAAACAUGCUCAUCUGACUCCUUCAUGGUGUUCUUGAGGUUAUGCUUUUCCUUUUUGAUGGAGUGGAAGGAUAUUUUCCCCGGUUAUAAGAUCUAGCCUCGUCUGAUAGGUGUUUUGUCAACCCGGGUACUGGCCUAGCCAGGUAAUGGAUGAGAUCCACUGCUGAGUGGUUUGGCUUCAAGGCAGAAGGUGUGAAUCCACCUCUUCUCUUAAAUUGUAUGUACUGGAAAGGGAUUUCAUAGUUUUUCCUAGUUUUGCUUCUGAGGUGAAACUCCUUUGGCUGUUCUUAAUGCCUUGUUCAGUUCGAACUUUCCCUCUCUUUAAUGGUGGACAAAGAAAAAUUCUUGGAA
RNA transcript from Populus nigra (black poplar), 1960 nucleotides. It is a transcript of the gene named protein LATERAL ROOT PRIMORDIUM 1-like, with no coding region annotated. NCBI's taxonomy places the organism in Eukaryota, Viridiplantae, Streptophyta, Magnoliopsida, Malpighiales, Salicaceae. The transcript has 4 exons. The record is from RefSeq and is a predicted model, not a curated record.